Molecule: transfer RNA, 71 nt
Filed under: Bos taurus (domestic cattle)
Lineage: Eukaryota; Metazoa; Chordata; Mammalia; Artiodactyla; Bovidae
Also listed under: 3 other names
Rfam family: tRNA
About the family: Transfer RNA (tRNA) molecules are approximately 80 nucleotides in length. Their secondary structure includes four short double-helical elements and three loops (D, anti-codon, and T loops).
Source: Rfam by way of RNAcentral
UCCCUAAUAGCUCAGUAGGUAAAGAAUCUGCCUGAAUGCAGAAGACCCAGGUUCAAUUCCUGGGUCGAGAA